This 468-nucleotide ribosomal RNA is filed under the name uncultured bacterium. RNAcentral describes it as "partial 16S ribosomal RNA". It matches the Rfam family "Bacterial small subunit ribosomal RNA", at positions 28 to 507 of the family's 1533-position model. The record is from RNAcentral.
GACGAACGCUGGCGGCGUGCUUAACACAUGCAAGUCGAACGGAAAGGCCCUGCUUUUGUGGGGUGCUCGAGUGGCGAACGGGUGAGUAACACGUGAGUAACCUGCCCUUGACUUUGGGAUAACUUCAGGAAACUGGGGCUAAUACCGGAUAGGAGCUCCUGCUGCAUGGUGGGGGUUGGAAAGUUUCGGCGGUUGGGGAUGUACUCGCGGCUUAUCAGCUUGUUGGUGGGGUAGUGGCUUACCAAGGCUUUGACGGGUAGCCGGCCUGAGAGGGUGACCGGCCACAUUGGGACUGAGAGACGGACCAGACUCCUACGGGAGGCAGCAGUGGGGAAUAUUGCACAAUGGGCGGAAGCCUGAUGCAGCAACGCCGCGUGCGGGAUGACGGCCUUCGGGUUGUAAACCGCUUUCGCCUGUGACGAAGCGUGAGUGACGGUAAUGGGUAAAGAAGCACCGGCUAACUACGUG